UUGGUGGCUCAAUUAGUAGAGAAUGAGACUCUCAAUCUCAGAGUCAUGGGUUCGAGCCCCAUAUUGGGCAAAA
This is a non-coding RNA of Podarcis lilfordi (Lilford's wall lizard), 73 nucleotides long. The record is from the annotation of a GenBank genome assembly. NCBI's taxonomy places the organism in Eukaryota, Metazoa, Chordata, Lepidosauria, Squamata, Lacertidae.